AUGCACGCUGGCGGCGUGCUUAACACAUGCCAGUCGAACGAUGAAGCCCAGCUUGCUGGGUGGAUUAGUGGCGAACGGGUGAGUAACACGUGAGUAACCUGCCCUUAACUCUGGGAUAAGCCUGGGAAACUGGGUCUAAUACCGGAUAGGAGCGUCCACCGCAUGGUGGGUGUUGGAAAGAUUUAUCGGUUUUGGAUGGACUCGCGGCCUAUCAGCUUGUUGGUGAGGUAAUGGCUCACCAAGGCGACGACGGGUAGCCGGCCUGAGAGGGUGACCGGCCACACGGGGACUGAGACACGGCCCAGACUCCUACGGGAGGCAGCAGUGGGGAAUAUUGCACAAUGGGCGCAAGCCUGAUGCAGCGACGCCGCGUGAGGGAUGACGGCCUUCGGGUUGUAAACCUCUUUCAGUAGGGAAGAAGCGAAGUGACGGUACCUGCAGAAGAAGCACCGGCUAACUACGUG
RNAcentral lists this ribosomal RNA (464 nucleotides) under uncultured bacterium. Its description in RNAcentral is "partial 16S ribosomal RNA". It matches the Rfam family "Bacterial small subunit ribosomal RNA", at positions 29 to 507 of the family's 1533-position model. The record is from RNAcentral.